GCAUGGUGCCGAACACCUCACACAGGAAGGUGAUGAAGCCGAGCCAGCGUUCCACGUCCUGCUGCUGAAGCUCUUCCCGCACGGUGAAGUCCUUCUGAAACAUUUUGGGAAGCAGGCUCC
Mustela erminea (ermine) is the source of this 120-nucleotide long non-coding RNA. RefSeq lists it as uncharacterized. Lineage: Eukaryota; Metazoa; Chordata; Mammalia; Carnivora; Mustelidae. The record is from RefSeq and is a predicted model, not a curated record. The transcript has 3 exons.